AGCGAACGCUGGCGGCGUGCCUAACACAUGCAAGUCGAGCGGUAAGGCCCUUCGGGGUACACGAGCGGCGAACGGGUGAGUAACACGUGGGUGACCUGCCUCUAGCUCUGGGAUAAGCCUGGGAAACUGGGUCUAAUACCGGAUAUGACUCCACGGCGCAUGUUGUGGGGUGGAAAGCCUUGUGUGGCUAGAGAUGGGCCCGCGGCCUAUCAGCUUGUUGGUGGGGUGAUGGCCUACCAAGGCGA
RNAcentral lists this ribosomal RNA (245 nucleotides) under uncultured Actinomycetes bacterium. Its description in RNAcentral is "uncultured actinobacterium partial 16S ribosomal RNA". It matches the Rfam family "Bacterial small subunit ribosomal RNA", at positions 29 to 276 of the family's 1533-position model. The record is from RNAcentral. Lineage: Bacteria; Bacillati; Actinomycetota; Actinomycetes.